RNAcentral lists this transfer RNA (74 nucleotides) under Apaloderma vittatum (bar-tailed trogon). It matches the Rfam family "tRNA". From Rfam's summary of the family: Transfer RNA (tRNA) molecules are approximately 80 nucleotides in length. Their secondary structure includes four short double-helical elements and three loops (D, anti-codon, and T loops). Further hydrogen bonds mediate the characteristic L-shaped molecular structure. tRNAs have two regions of fundamental functional importance: the anti-codon, which is responsible for specific mRNA codon recognition, and the 3' end, to which the tRNAs corresponding amino acid is attached (by aminoacyl-tRNA synthetases). tRNAs cope with the degeneracy of the genetic code in two manners: having more than one tRNA (with a specific anti-codon) for a particular amino acid; and 'wobble' base-pairing, i.e. permitting non-standard base-pairing at the 3rd anti-codon position. Lineage: Eukaryota; Metazoa; Chordata; Aves; Trogoniformes; Trogonidae. The record is from Rfam by way of RNAcentral.
GGGCAGUUAGCUCAGCCAGUUAGAGCGUGGUGCAGAUAACACCAAGGUUGCAGGUUCGAUUCCUGCUCGAUCCU